GUGAGUCUGUUUAGGCAAGUGAAUAUGUUGCUCUUGUAUUUGUUGCUCUGGACUAAGGUUGCCGCAAAUAGCCUUUGUAAAUGCCACAGUGGUCCUGAUGAGGGGUUAUGUUUCUCAGCUCAAGCCCAGCAUGACCUCUAGCUCCAGACCUUCUGGAAGCAAUGACCUUGAGCUGAGAGACAUAACCCCCCAGCAGGAUCAUUAUGCUGCCCCCAAACGCUAUUUGCGCUAAGUAUGUUGCACCCUACUCCAGGGCAGCCAAUACAAGAGCAACAUAUUUCACUUGCCUAAACAUGUU
RNAcentral lists this microRNA precursor (298 nucleotides) under Selaginella moellendorffii. RNAcentral's name for it is "miR1108 stem-loop (smo-MIR1108)". The record is from miRBase by way of RNAcentral. Lineage: Eukaryota; Viridiplantae; Streptophyta; Lycopodiopsida; Selaginellales; Selaginellaceae.